CAUAGUUAAUUCCAGGUCAGCCUGGACCAAAGUGAGACCCUACCUCGAAAAAACAAAAAAACAAACAAACAAAUAAAUAAAUAAAUAAUGAACAAAAAAAAUCUCAGAAUAUGGUGCCACAUGACCUGUGGUAAGUUAUCCCUGUUUCACAAGUUGAGAACGGUGAAAAUGCCUACUCCUGAGAGAAUUAUUCAAGGCAAUUUGCACCAUGCUAAUUUAUAUUUAUUAUAUGUUAAUAGUGUUUUUAAUAGAUAGUAGCUGUUACAGCUGGGACAAAAUUGUGGAUAUGUGUGUAUCAAGCCAUUCUUCUGGAAAAUGGGGUUGAAGGCAUUCUGAAACACAACUGCCUUGAAUCUAAUUAAAUUAUAUGACCACAUACUGCCCAUCCCAAACUGCACUUUCUAUGAAGAAACCCAAGUUAUAUCCCUUCGUGUCUUAUCUAAUACCUUCUAAACCAACAAAAAGAGACUAAAUGAGACACUACUGUACUGUAGCUAACAGCAAGAACAGAAGCAAGGCUAGGAAAGCAAUGUAUCGACGACAGAAGGAUGGAGUGACUUGCACCGAAACCACUUCACAUAGUAUGUUCGGCACUUUGGUGGAUCACCGUUGAGCUGUGAUAAAAGAUAAACAAGGCCGACGGCUUUCGUACAGAUAGUUAACCUUAUAAGCAGCCAUAUCAUAAACCACCAGGCACUGGCAGGACAGCGCAACAAACACUUUCCAGAAGCAUGCUCAAGCAUUGCAAAAUGAAAAUAAGCUCAUGUUUGGUCUUUAGGAGAUCUUGGAAUCUAGGCCUUCAGAAGACUUUUCUGCACUUGAAGGAACUGUCACGCUGAUUCCUGGCUUACCCAUUUGAUUUCUAAGAAUAUUCUGCACGUUUUUCUUUUGUCUUUUCUCCCCUGAAUGAUGCAGGAAGAAAGGGCACAUUGCAUAGCAUAUAUAUUGAAUGAAUAAAUGGAAUCCCUUUUGAAAGAGACCAUUAACAGAAAUAAUUCUCCAUUGGCCUUGCUCUGGUGCUGAAAGUUUGAACUGUCCCUGAAGGAGGACAAAAAUAAUGAAAUAAAAUGCUAAGCUAUGCUUAGAUGGAAAUAAUAAAUUAUACAAGAUAUCCCUUGGUUUAUUUUAACUUAACCCUUGUGAAUACUUCACAAAAAUAUAUACAGAGAGGCAAACAAAACUAUACAAAGUAAAUAUCCUGAAGAAAAAAAACAAGUAGUCAAGUUGAAAGAUGUGUAAGUUGCUAAGUGGUUGAUGAGGUGGUUUGCAUUAUCAAAAGGGGUCACCAAAAAAGCAUCUUCAAUAUAACAGAAGUAUUCUUUUUUUAACCUGAAAGAUAUGGUUAAUCUAUAAAAUGGUUUGGGUAACAUGCAUUGAACAGUACAAUGACCAGUAUUUAUUGAACUCAAACUAUUUACUGUUGUAAACAUUUAACAAAAACACUAUGAGAUCUAAGUACAGUCUUUGACAAUUCCAACAAAAUAAGUGGUAUGUUGAAAAAAUAAAGCUGAUGAGCAAGAUUCAUCCAUUCUAUAUAUUGUCUUUCAAGUUCCAGAAAAAGAACAGCACAGGAUUUUUUAAAAGUAUACAGCAAAGAUUGUUCAUAUUAUAAUGUCAAGUUCUGGAAACUGUAAAUACAAAUAAAGUCAUUGAACAGUCAAA
Long non-coding RNA from Jaculus jaculus (lesser Egyptian jerboa), 1662 nucleotides. RefSeq lists it as uncharacterized. The transcript is spliced from 2 exons. NCBI's taxonomy places the organism in Eukaryota, Metazoa, Chordata, Mammalia, Rodentia, Dipodidae. The record is from RefSeq and is a predicted model, not a curated record.